GGCGAACGGGUGAGUAACGCGUUGAGCAAUCUACCUUAGUUACAGGGAUAGCCCGAGGAAACUCGGAUUAAUACCUGAUAUUCUUUAUUUCUCGCAUGAGAAUAAAAGGAAAGGUCAGCCGAACUAAGAUGAGCUCGCGUUCUAUCAGCUAGUUGGUGAGGUAAAAGCUUACCAAGGCUACGACGGAUAGCUGGUCUGAGAGGACGAUCAGCCACACUGGGACUGAGACACGGCCCAGACUCCUACGGGAGGCUGCAGCAGGGAAUAUUGUGCAAUGAACGAAAGUUUGACACAGCGACACCGCGUGUGGGAUGACGGAUCUAGGUUUGUAAACCACUUUCAGGAGGGAAGAAAAUGACGGUACCUCCACAAGAAGCCCCGGCCAACUACGUGCCAGCAGCCGCGGUAAUACGUAGGGGGCGAGCGUUGUCCGGAUUUAUUGGGCGUAAAGAGCUC
RNAcentral lists this ribosomal RNA (456 nucleotides) under uncultured Actinomycetes bacterium. Its description in RNAcentral is "bacterial SSU rRNA". It matches the Rfam family "Bacterial small subunit ribosomal RNA", at positions 97 to 570 of the family's 1533-position model. The record is from RNAcentral. Lineage: Bacteria; Bacillati; Actinomycetota; Actinomycetes.